Long non-coding RNA from Glycine soja, 656 nucleotides. RefSeq lists it as uncharacterized. The record is from RefSeq and is a predicted model, not a curated record. Lineage: Eukaryota; Viridiplantae; Streptophyta; Magnoliopsida; Fabales; Fabaceae. The transcript has 2 exons.
CAUGUUUUGAAUUCCUUUUUUUCCCUAGUUCUCAAAUCCACCGUUAUUUUUUUGAAAACCAAUACUGAUAAAGCCUAGAUCUAGCCUUGAAUCUUAGAAAAAAAAAAUGAACUACCUUUGUUCUUAUGUUAUCGUUUAAGCUUCAGAGUGGAAACGGUUACAGUUUGGGUUGUGUGGGUGUGGGUGUCGGCUGAUGGUGGUGGUUGGUGUAGGCUUUAGGCCGCGUGAGUGAGUGGGUUACUGUGUUCGCGUGGGUUUCUGUUCUAACGUUUCGAUUUCUAGGGAAGGAAAUGAAUAGUAUGAGCAAGAUGAUUUUGGUUUUUUCUUGUGUUGGUGGUUCACGGAGGGGGAGGGUGGCGCUGAGUGGUGGCUCUGAGUGGUGGCUCGUGGUGGCUCUGAGUGGUGGCUCUAGGCCGAUGGUGGUGGUUCGCGGAGGAGGAGAGUGGCGGUUGAGUGGUGGCUAGGCCGAUGGUGGUGGUUCGCGGAGGAGGAAAGGGGCUGUUGAGUGGUGGCUCGUGGUGGCUAGGCUGUUGGUAUUCUGACUGUUCGUAUUCACCUCUGCCCUCUCUCUCUCCCUCUGACAUGCACAGUAAUUAAUGCAGCAUUUAAAGGACAUAAUUAGGGUAAAAAACGAAGAGCCCCUCUGGGCCUGGACC